CCUACGGGUGGCAGCAGUGGGGAAUAUUGGACAAUGGGCGAAAGCCUGAUCCAGCCAUGCCGCGUGUGUGAAGAAGGCCUUCGGGUUGUAAAGCACUUUCAGUGGGGAAGAAAGCCUUGGGGCUAAUACCCUCGAGGAAGGACAUCACCCACAGAAGAAGCACCGGCUAACUCCGUGCCAGCAGCCGCGGUAAUACGGAGGGUGCGAGCGUUAAUCGGAAUUACUGGGCGUAAAGCGCGCGUAGGCGGUCUGAUAAGCCGGUUGUGAAAGCCCCGGGCUCAACCUGGGAACGGCAUCCGGAACUGUCAGGAUAGAGUGCAGGAGAGGAAGGUAGAAUUCCCGGUGUAGCAGUGAAAUGCGUAGAGAUCGGGAGGAAUACCAGUGGCGAAGGCGGCCUUCUGGACUGACACUGACGCUGAGGUGCGAAAGCGUGGGUAGCAAACAGGAUUAGAUACCCUGGUAGUC
This 465-nucleotide ribosomal RNA is filed under the name Vreelandella stevensii. RNAcentral describes it as "partial 16S ribosomal RNA". It matches the Rfam family "Bacterial small subunit ribosomal RNA", at positions 338 to 795 of the family's 1533-position model. The record is from RNAcentral. Lineage: Bacteria; Pseudomonadati; Pseudomonadota; Gammaproteobacteria; Oceanospirillales; Halomonadaceae.